GACGAACGCUGGCGGCGUGCUUAACACAUGCAAGUCGUACGGUAAGGCCCUUUCGGGGGUACACGAGUGGCGAACGGGUGCGUAACACGUGAGUAACCUGCCCACAACUUUGGGAUAACGCUAGGAAACUGGUGCUAAUACUGGAUAUGUGCUCCUGCGGCAUGGUGGGGGUUGGAAAGCUCCGGCGGUUGUGGAUGGACUCGCGGCCUAUCAGCUUGUUGGUGGGGUAGUGGCCUACCAAGGCGGCGACGGGUAGCCGGCCUGAGAGGGUGACCGGCCACAUUGGGACUGAGAUACGGCCCAGACUCCUACGGGAGGCAGCAGUGGGGAAUAUUGCACAAUGGGCGCAAGCCUGAUGCAGCAACGCCGCGUGCGGGAUGACGGCCUUCGGGUUGGAAACCGCUUUCAGCAGGGACGAAGCUUUUUGUGACGGUACCUGCAGAAGAAGCACCGGCUAACUACGUG
RNAcentral lists this ribosomal RNA (465 nucleotides) under uncultured bacterium. RNAcentral's name for it is "partial 16S ribosomal RNA". It matches the Rfam family "Bacterial small subunit ribosomal RNA", at positions 28 to 507 of the family's 1533-position model. The record is from RNAcentral.